UCCGGUUGAUCCUGCCGGACCUACUGCUAUCGGGAUGGGACUAAGACAUGCUAGUCGAGCGCCUCCUAGCCACGCUGGAGGCGCGGCACACAGCUCAGUAACACGUGGCUAACCUGCCCUUGGGACGGAAAUAUCCCCGGGAAACUGGGGCCAAUGUCCGAUAGGCGAAGACCUCUGGAACGAGUCUUCACCCAAAAGACGUUUGGGGCAUGCUUCUAGACGUUGCCCAAGGAUGGGGCCGCGGCCGAUCAGGUUGUUGGUGAGGUAACGGCUCACCGAGCCUAUUACCGGUACGGGCCGUGGGAGCGGUAGCCCGGAGAUGGGCACUGAGACAAGGGCCCAGGCCCUACGGGGCGCAGCAGUCGCGAAAACUUCGCAAUAAGCGAAAGCUUGACGAGGCCAUCCCGAGUGCCAUCUGCUGAGGAUGGCUUUUACCUAGUAUAGAUAGCUGGGGGAAUAAGGAGAGGGCAAGUCUGGUGUCAGCCGCCGCGGUAAUACCAGCUCUCCGAGUUGUGGGGAUAUUUAUUGGGCCUAAAGCAUCCGUAGCCGGCUGAACAAGUCCCCUGUUAAAUCCAGCGACUAAUCGUUGGCCUGCGGGGGAUACUGUUCGGCUAGGGGGCGGGAGAGGCCGUCGGUAUUCUUGGGGUAGGGGUGAAAUCCUAUAAUCCCAGGAGGACCACCAGUGGCGAAGGCUGUCGGCUAGAACGCGCCCGACGGUGAGGGAUGAAAGCUGGGGGAGCGAACUCGGAUUAGAUACCCGGGUAGUCCCAGCUGUAAACGAUGCAGCUAGUGUUAGGGCGGCUACGUGCCGCUCUAGUGCCGCAGGAAGCUGUUAAGCCUGCCGCCUGGGGAGUACCGCCGCAAGGCUGAAACUUAAGGAAUUGGCGGG
Molecule: ribosomal RNA, 889 nt
Filed under: uncultured archaeon
Lineage: Archaea
Description: bacterial SSU rRNA
Rfam family: Archaeal small subunit ribosomal RNA
Source: RNAcentral